GUAAGAAUGUCAGGUAAGAAUUCCUUAAGUAAGAAUCUCCCAGGCUGGUAGAGCCUUGGUAGGUGCACAUGAUGAGUUACUUGGUUGUUUCUAAUGCUCAUCAACAUUUGAGGACAGUCCUUCCUGGAACCCCAACUCUGGGCCCCUACAGAGCGGCACAGGGAAGUGAUAGCCUUGAUCUGCAUUGCUAACCUUUAAAAGAACCAUCUGGCUGGUCCAUUUCCGCAUCUACUCUAACGAUGCUAAGAGGGAGGUCUUUGGCAAAAUUACACAUCAUCUGACUUACAAUGACUCUCAGAAAAAAUAUUUCUCCCGUUCUUUUAUCCCAUCUCAGGCUAUCACUUCUACUGAAUGAGAAGCACAGGGAAGAGGACUCUCUGAGGAGCCACCUGUCAGAACUGUCCAUUUGGGCAUCAGUUCUGAGUCUGGGGGAAUCAAGAUGCCAUGUUGCCCUUUGGAAAGACCCAUGUGUCAUGGCAAGGGGAAGAGACCCUCAGUCCAACAACUUGCAAGGAACCGAAGGACCUACAUUCACCACAAGUGAACUUAGAAGUGGAUCAUUCAGCCCCAGCCAAUGGUUUGACUACAACCUCAUGAGAGACUUCAAUUUGGAAACACACAGUCAAGCACUUCCCAGAUUUCUAACCACACAAAGUAUAAAGUAAUAAAUGUUGUUUUAAAUUGCUAA
Canis lupus familiaris (dog) is the source of this 688-nucleotide long non-coding RNA. RefSeq lists it as uncharacterized. Lineage: Eukaryota; Metazoa; Chordata; Mammalia; Carnivora; Canidae. The transcript has 3 exons. The record is from RefSeq and is a predicted model, not a curated record.